Molecule: ribosomal RNA, 700 nt
Filed under: uncultured bacterium
Lineage: Bacteria
Description: bacterial SSU rRNA
Rfam family: Bacterial small subunit ribosomal RNA
Source: RNAcentral
GUAGUUUACUAUAGGAUGUACUUAGUGGCGGACGGGUGAGUAACACGUGGGUAAUCUGCCUGAGAGACCGGGACAACAGGGUGAAAACGCUGCUAAUACCGGAUAAGCUCACAAGUGCGAGAGCACCGGUGAGAAAAGGAGCAAUCCGCUUUCAGAUGAGCCCGCGGCUGAUUAGCUAGUUGGUGGGGUAAUGGCCUACCAAGGCGACGAUCAGUAGCCGGCCUGAGAGGGUGUACGGCCACACUGGAACUGAGACACGGUCCAGACUCCUACGGGAGGCAGCAGUGGGGAAUUUUCCGCAAUGGGCGAAAGCCUGACGGAGCAAUGCCGCGUGAGUGACGAAGGCCUUCGGGUUGUAAAGCUCUGUCUUCAGGGACGAAAAAAAUGACGGUACCUGAGGAGGAAGCCACGGCUAACUACGUGCCAGCAGCCGCGGUAAUACGUAGGUGGCAAGCGUUGUCCGGAAUUACUGGGCGUAAAGGGCGUGUAGGUGGAUUGAUCAGUCGGAUGUGAAAUACCCAGGCUUAACUUGGGAACUGCAUUCGAUACGGUCAGUCUUGAGUGCAGGAGAGGGCAGUGGAAUUCCCAGUGUAGCGGUGAAAUGCGUAGAGAUUGGGAGGAACACCAGUGGCGAAGGCGGCUGCCUGGACUGUAACUGACACUGAGGCGCGAAAGCGUGGGGAGCAAACAGGAUUAGAUA